CCUGUAGGAAGGCCACAGUUCUAAGUCACCAAGCUCUGCUUAGCCCAUGAGGUUCAUUCUGCUCCUCUCCCCCACCAAGAAAUCCACAGACAACCACACACACACCUCUAAAGGUUCUGGUCACCAGAGGAGGGAAAAGAGACCUGCCUUGGUUGGAGACAGGUAAGCGUGAAAUGGAGAGAGUACUCAAGCCUAUUAAGCCUAAGGAAAGAGUGAGGCCCCAGGAGGAAUUGGGAACCUGCACUCUUCAAAGGACUCUCCUAUACAACCAACAUUUCAAAAAUGGAGGAGAGAAAACUAAGAAAAAGAGACUCUUCCUUAGACCCAUGUAAGGGUAAGGCAGGAAUGGGGAUGGUAAAGUGCUGUCCUGAGGAAAAGGAGCCAGGUGUGGCAGCUGGUUAUAGAGAGGAGGGAAAUCAGGCCCCUGUAGCCACUGAAGCUUCAACCUGGUGGGUGAGGAAGACAAAGAGGAGUGGGUGGGGGGAUUCAGUCCCAGGCCUCUAGAGGGCCUUCACUGAUGCUUUCAAAAGGAAGACGUGUUCAGGAGCUGGGCUUAUCUUCUUGUUAGGCCCACACUGCUGACAAGCCCCCAUUACCUGCCAAGUAACCUACUCUGCCUGCUAAUCAGAGGGGAAUUCCUGAGGAAUACCCACGGCAAGAAGAAGGAACUCCUCGCCCAACCACCAGGGAGGGGACCCGAGGGGAUCCACGGGCCUGGGAGGAGCCAGGAGACCCAAGGACAGCCAGGGGAGAGAAAGAGAGAGGAGGCCUGGCAGACACCCACGGGGAAGGCGGGGACAGCUGAGAGGACAGAUGGGGGAAGCUGGGAAGGAGCAUCAGCCAGCGCGGGAGGAGGGGAGGACCGGGAAUGAUGCAGAGGUAAGGAACCCUGCAGAGGCAGGGAAGAUGGAGAAGAGAGGCUGUCUAGGGGACAGUCAAGGAGAAAAGGCUGGCAUGUCAGGUGAGGGAUGGAGUGGUGGAAGAGAGAAGGGACUGAAGCCCCAAGUCAGCUUACAGAACAUCUCGGGCUCCCUGGCCAGCCCCGUCAACAUCCCUUGCAGCCUACUGGCCACAUCCCACAUCCCCAAGCAAGGAUACAGUGGGUGGGACCAAGAUGGAGAGGCGAAGGUAAAGGGAUGUACCCCCGCAGGGCGGGGCCUGGAGAUCUGCAGUCAAGGGCAGUGGCUGCGGGGCCGGGACGGACCACAGAAUUUCCAUUCCUAGCCUUCGAGCAUCCCCGGCACCCAAAGAUUGAAAUCAGGAGAAACAGAAAGUCAGGAAGUUGCACACAGUUAAUACCUUGCGUUUUCCCAAGGGCGGGUAUGAAAUCCAAAACUGCUGCAGAAUUAAAGAUGAACCGCCUUUCUAAUUAGUUUUCUGAGUCGACGUCCGACUUAUUGAUUCCCAGUGCUGGGAUCCGAGCAACCCACUGUGGCAGCCUAAAUAGCAGCGAUAAGACUGAUGGUGCUCUUCUGCCCGGGAAUCUCUGGUCUGGCUUCCCUCUUGAGUCCGCAACAAGCGGCUCUGACUUCCUGGAGCUCCAAACUCCGGUCAGUAGGGGAAGCAGUCCCGUUGGCUCUGCGUGAAGAGCUGCUGCGCCGAGACGCCGGCAAAACCGCUGCGGCAGCCACAAGAGUCGCGCUGGCGACCCGUGAGGCUCCUCCACUGGGAAUCGGCUAAUCGGUGAGUGACGAAAAUUCGUCUAAUGGUGUGGCAUCGUCUCGUUCUCUGAGCUUUCACUGGGAGCUACAAUCCUGAGCUGUUAGUGGUCGGCCAUCUGCCCUUUGCACUCUUGAGUGUGCAUGCAUCAUGCUGGGUGAUGUUCAGAUCAAUUGGAGAGGUAGUUAAGGGCUGGUAUGUUUUAAUUAAAUAAAUGUCUGACAAAAUGAGUACAUAUGGAGGUGCACUUUAAACUGUGAGGUGCCUGGAAAAUGAAGUUAUUAGUAUUAUGGAAGGUAAGAGACAGUAGAUAAACUGAUUUAAGAAGAUCAUUUGCUGAAGAUCAUGAAGUUACUAAAUGCCAAUCAAGAUCUGAACUCUCUGUCUAGGGCUCUUAGCACCACCUGCCUAACUUCUUCAUCAAAGGUAUCACCUUUUCUCCUGUCAAUCUCAUCAGUUCCCCUCUUCAUCUACUCACUUAGGUCAGACCAUUAGCUAAGCAUCCCUCUAGCACCUGAAAAAUAAAAAAGCCCAAAUGAUAGGAGGUUGUGGUAAAGCCAGCUUUUCUUUCACCAGGUAGCCUAGAAAGUACCUGGAGUUUAAACACAGUUCCACCAUUUUUCCCUUUUGCCUAUUCUUCCUCACCUUUACCCUCCCUCCAUUCAUGACCAGCCCUUCAACAUUUAGGUACCCUUGUUUGUGGCACCUAGACUGUUGCUAGUGAAAGGAAAAAGUGUGAGUUUAUUUAUUGAGCAUCUACUAUGUAAUCAAACUCUGUCCUACAUGUUUUCACACUUCACAUGUGUUUGCUUUUUGA
Callithrix jacchus (white-tufted-ear marmoset) is the source of this 2476-nucleotide non-coding RNA. The record is from RefSeq and is a predicted model, not a curated record. Lineage: Eukaryota; Metazoa; Chordata; Mammalia; Primates; Cebidae.